UGGGGAAUAUUGGACAAUGGGCGCAAGCCUGAUCCAGCAAUGCCGCGUGAGUGAAGAAGGCCUUAGGGUUGUAAAGCUCUUUCGCCCGCGAAGAUAAUGACGGUAGCGGGAGAAGAAGCCCCGGCUAACUCCGUGCCAGCAGCCGCGGUAAUACGGAGGGGGCUAGCGUUGUUCGGAAUGACUGGGCGUAAAGGGCGCGUAGGCGGCGAUUCAAGUCAGAUGUGAAAGGCCUGGGCUCAACCCGGGAACUGCAUUUGAUACUGGAUUGCUUGAGUCCGGGAGAGGAUGGCGGAAUUCCCAGUGUAGAGGUGAAAUUCGUAGAUAUUGGGAAGAACACCGGUGGCGAAGGCGGCCAUCUGGACCGGUACUGACGCUGAGGCGCGAAAGCGUGGGGAGCAAACAG
This 403-nucleotide ribosomal RNA is filed under the name uncultured bacterium. RNAcentral's name for it is "bacterial SSU rRNA". It matches the Rfam family "Bacterial small subunit ribosomal RNA", at positions 355 to 775 of the family's 1533-position model. The record is from RNAcentral.